RNAcentral lists this unclassified non-coding RNA (367 nucleotides) under uncultured cyanobacterium. RNAcentral's name for it is "partial contains 16S ribosomal RNA and 16S-23S ribosomal RNA intergenic spacer". Lineage: Bacteria; Bacillati; Cyanobacteriota. The record is from RNAcentral.
GUCGUAACAAGGUAGCCGUACCGGAAGGUGUGGCUGGAUCACCUCCUUUUAGGGAGACCUAAUCCAUUUAGAAAUCGAAGGUAAUGAAAAUUAUCAAUAGAAACUAAAUUGGUCUAACCUAGGUCGGUCGAGAUUGGUAGAUAUCUUUCAAAGUAUUAUUUGGCUUAGUUCAAAAAUUGAAUCAAAGUCAGCACCCAACAACUAUAGUUAGACUACUGGGUUAAAUUCCAGCCAGAACCUUGAAAACUGCAUAAGAGAACGAGAAAAAGCACCGCAGACACAGACAUGAAAGUGUUUCGUGAAAGCUUUGGAAAAAGAAAUGUGGUCAAGUUAAUAAGGGCUAAUGGUGGAUACCUAGGCACACAGA